AAAGGAAGUGAAGGAGGGACCCACGUGCACACCUGCAGAGUCUGGCUGGGUCAGCGCCUGGUGUACUGGAGGACCAGCAGGAGAUGGUAGCGUACUUCUCUACAUCCUGUUUUAUUCCAGUAGCAAGAUGUCUGGGAGCUACUUCUGUAUCCGUCCAGGUGAGCUCGCUCGGUCUCUUCGCCGGCUGCCCUUCAGACAGGACAGUAGCUCUCCUCUUUGCCCAGUCGCCACCGUGCCUUAUAGUGUCACGCCCGGCCUGCUUCAGUCAUUCGCGAUUCUUGCCCUCCCCUUCGGCAUCUGAGUUCGCUGACUCUGGCGCAGGUCAAGGACAGAGCGUGCCUCCCAGCCACCCGGCACCUGCCCCUGCUCGCUCCCGAUGCCUGCAGUUCCUGGACUUCCCAGCAGAGGGAGACACCACUCUGCUCGCAAGACCACCCAGGGGGUCUUCCCAGGGACUGCAGUCUUGAAACGUGUGGGCAAGAGAUGCUGUCUGCCCAGACAUAAAGACCCUCUUAACUGGACUGGGAUCCCCCUUAACUGGACUGGGAUCCCCCUUAACUGGACUGGGAUCCUUGCCCUCGGGUCUCCCCUUACCCUGUUUCUAUCCCCGCCUGAACCUCCUGUUUUGACUGAGCCCCACCCUGAGUGCCCUCUCCUCUCCUUAUAGGGACUGUCCCCUCCUUAAUGGGGUGGGGAGAGGCCUUGUCCGAGUCUGGGGCCAGGGACUGAGAAACUGCCCAAGGGCACCACAUAAAGACAGCAUGUAUCUGGGUGCCCCUCCCUGCUGAGAACCGGGGGGGGGGGGGGCCCUUUCUCCUUGCCCCCAGCACGCAGCCCCCAGCAGAGUCUUGACCUCGAAAUCCGCUUUCCCUCCCUACAGUCCACACUCCCGCCAGGAUCCUCUCCCUGGCCCGGCCCCUGUGCCCCUCCGCCCCACCCCCGCUGUGGUGUUGGGGUCGCCUGGAGUCCAGCUGGUGGCCAGUGCAGAGCCACCCCUUCCUGGCCCUGCCCCUCCCCAUGACCCCAAUCCUCCGCCAGCCACUCAAAGGCGCCUUGUUCUCCAUCCAGCCCCCAGACAAAAGUCCCUCUGUCUGAAAAGACGGAAUUGGGGGGAGGGGGCACCCCAACGGAGACCGUGUGGGGG
Molecule: long non-coding RNA, 1144 nt
Filed under: Equus caballus (horse)
Lineage: Eukaryota; Metazoa; Chordata; Mammalia; Perissodactyla; Equidae
Description: lncRNA (ENSECAG00000059159.1)
Source: RNAcentral